UACGGAGGGUGCAAGCGUUAUCCGGAUUCACUGGGUUUAAAGGGUGCGUAGGUGGGUUGGUAAGUCAGUGGUGAAAUCUCCGGGCUUAACCUGGAAACUGCCAUUGAUACUAUCAAUCUUGAAUACCUUGGAGGUGAGCGGAAUAUGUCAUGUAGCGGUGAAAUGCUUAGAUAUGACAUAGAACACCAAUUGCGAAGGCAGCUCACUACACGGUCAUUGACACUGAGGCACGAAAGCGUGGGGAUCAAACAGG
RNAcentral lists this ribosomal RNA (253 nucleotides) under uncultured bacterium. RNAcentral's name for it is "partial 16S ribosomal RNA". It matches the Rfam family "Bacterial small subunit ribosomal RNA", at positions 524 to 776 of the family's 1533-position model. The record is from RNAcentral. RNAcentral also lists the same sequence under 1 other name.